AACUAUUACAUUGGUGCAAAAGUAAUUGCGGCUUUUGCAACUGAAGGUAAUGGCAAAAACUGCAAUUACUUUUGCCCCAACCUAAUAGAAGUCA
MicroRNA precursor from Chlorocebus sabaeus (green monkey), 94 nucleotides. Lineage: Eukaryota; Metazoa; Chordata; Mammalia; Primates; Cercopithecidae. The record is from Ensembl.